UAAACUAAUUAUUGAUUAAUAAGUUUUAACUUGAUGAUAUUAGAGUCGUCUCUCAUAUGAGAUAUUAAGUUUAAAUCCCAAUUACCAACCCAAUUGUACCAACAAAAAAUAAGCUGAUUAUUGGAUUUAAAAUCUUCAUAAUCUUUUAAAUUGCCAAUGUUAAAGAAAUGGAUUGAAUCAUGGACUACAAUUAAGAUAUAAUCAUUUAUUAUUAGAUCUGAAUUAAAAUCAAAAGUAUUGAUUCCUUUGUAAUGAUUUCCAAAUCUUUAGCCUCUUUACAACAUCGAAAUAUAUAGCUAUACAAGCUUUUUCCUCCAUGCAAUAAUCUAACCCUAAAUUACUAGGCAUCCUUUGUCAAUUGAAUUCCAUCAAAUCUAUGAUCUCUCUCCAUAAAAAUUCAAAUGCUCUUAAUACAGCUGUGUAAUCCUAUUCCGUUCAAACUGAUCAUAGGCAUGCCUUGUCCUUAAGAAUAACAGCAAGCUAGAACCUAACCCCAAUACUGAAAGGCACCCCCACCACACAAAGGUUAAGAAAUAGCAUUUCCUCCCCAUGCAAAUCAUAGAAUCAGUAAUGAUGCCUAGGCCACUACUCCUUGCAUUAGAAUCAUACACGAUAGCAGCAAGAAAUCCAUAAACAAGUGACCCUAUUGGAAUGUUGGUAAUAAGAAUGUUAUGGUUCACACCUAUGCUGUUCGGUCCGAAUAGCUCAGAUGUUAUCGAAACAGCUGCAGCGAAUAUGAACCCAGAACUCAAUCCAACUAAUGCAGUACCUAUCUUCAAUGCCAGUGGACUGCCUGAUAUAGCAAGAAAGAAGAAAGCAAUUGGAGUUGGCACAAGAGCAAUGGUUAGCCAUGCAGUCCUUGCAAAGUACAUCUUCACCCGUAAAUAGUCCGGUGCAGCAGACAGCAAUCGGCCAAAAAAGGAAAAGGCUGAAUACAAAGUGAGAAGAGUUGUAGUGUUCAUGCUUUGUCCCAGUGAUUGUGCUAUUUGGCCUAGGUUGUUGCUGUACACCAGGCCAAUUGUGCCUCCACAAAAAUAUGCAGUGUAAUAUAGCCAAAAAUCCAACCUUCGUAUCAGCAAACAUGCUGGAUGCUCUUCCCCAAGCAUUGCCAGUCUAUCUUUCCCAACCAUUGUCUCACAGCACCCUUCUUUUUGGCUUGAGCUUUUCUGUCUUGUAACCCCAUUGAUGAUUCCAUCCCUAUUCUCGUGAUUACUCAUCUCAUGGGUAAGGAGCUCUUUAUGAAGCUCAAGAUCAUCAACAUCCACAAGAAUGAAGCCAGAGCCUUGAAGGCGGAAACUAGAAUGAAUGUUACGGUGAAACCAGUCUCUAGCAUAAACAACACCAGGGAUACACAAUGGGAACAUGAGAAGGAAAAUUGCUCCAGCUAAGAAUAGAGAAGCUCUUGUUGAAUUAGAUGUGUUUGAACUGAAGAGAAGGAGAUAGAUUCCUGUGAGGAUGGCUAAGAAAUUCAAUAUGAGAAAUAUGAGGGAAUCACGGCGAACUCCAUCAGGAGAGAGAGGAUCUAAAGAUGGUUGGCGAAGAAUUGGGAGCAAUGCUACAAUGGAAGUGAUAAGGGGAACAACGGCAUUUAAAAGAAGAUAUAUAUCAUCUGAUGAUGAAUCUAUUGCAUUGCCAGCAAGAGUGUAUAACGCUGCACUAACACCAUUGAAGCCUACAGUAAGGGAUAAAGCUAGGGAUCUGCUAGCUGGGAAGUUUUGAAUACAGAGGACAAAACAUACAGUGUUGAACCAGCAGAUGCUACAUCCAGCCAGCAAACAAAGGAGAAAUACCUGCCAUAUUUUUCAGAAUAACAUGUAUGUAUUUAUGGUCAAGGCCGCAAAAGAAAUUAAAAUUUAGGAAAAUAUAAACAUUUUUGCAUAAUAUUGAUUUUAAAAUUUUAUCCUAUAUCUAUCCAGAACAUGUUAUUUAUAGAUAGACAGUAAUUGAUGUAGCCUAAACAUAUACAUAAUGUUCACAUUUUAGUAUCAACAGAUUUGCAUAAAUUUUUAUCUCAACAUUCAGGGCACGCUUGGUUUAGCAGUUUUUGUUAGCAAUUGGCGGUUGAAGAGUGAAAAAUAUAUAGCUACAAAUUCCAGCCUUCAAUGUAUAAUUUUGAAUCAUUAACUGUUGCAUUUUAAAACACUGCUCUAAUCACCAUGCUUGGCAAACCCCCCAGACCAACUGUUGGGAGCGUGAAUGCCAAAAGCUCAUCUAACCAGUCACUUAAAUCGAAAGUGGAGAUGCUUUCAAUUGUACUUGUUAGUGAAAUCAUUUCUAUUUGUGCUUAUUAUAGUACAUAUUCAUAUUAAAUUUAUAGUGCUGCUUUCUAGGGUAUAUCCAUUGUCCGCUGUGAAAUUGGCAAGAGAAGGUUUCAAAUUUAUCAACAGAAGUCAUUUUAAACAAGUAGAAUAAAAUAUUAAUUUUGAUAAAACAAAAUCAUCAUUUUUUGGGAAUGCUGCUUUUUAACUAAAUUAAUUUUGAUUUUUAGAGAAAGAAGAUGACUUCAACUUGAAAGAAAAAGAGCAGAAAGAAUCAAGAAACACAUACAAGCUAACUCAUCUCUCACAUGAAGCUACUAAAUGCUGAUUUAUUAGGCAAGCUACCCUUAGACAACUGGAAAAAACAAAGGGCCUAAAAUAUAUAAAUGCAGCAAAAUUGUCUGCAUUUAUUGCUAAUCCAUGGAAAUAAGUUGAAAAUCAUCAUUGCAGAAAGAUCUUGAAUUCAUGGCCUUCAGUUCAUGAUCUAGGAAUCCCAACUAGCAUUCACAUCAUGACCCACCAUAAUAAUAAAAUCUCAUCGAUGUAUUGAUGGUCUUGUAUAGAAUUUUUAGAUUACAUAUGUCCUCAAAAUCAGGGUUAUUGAUAUUUUGGCUUAAACAAAGAUAAUAGAAAAAGAAAAAUAAAUGGUGUUAAGGUAGUAUGCCAACUUUUAAACCCCUGAACUCUUAUAGUAUAAUACAAAUAAACCAGGGAACUAGUAGCCAAAUCGCUAUUCUGUACGCUUGAAAUUAUUGAUGUAUCACGGAAUGAAGUAAGAGAAUCAGAGAAAAGAUGACAAAGAAACAAAUUAGAAGGAUUUGAAAGAGGAAGGUGCUUUGCACAUCACAAGUUUGGAAAUAUGUGAAAUGUGAUCACCAUAUGUGUAAUGGGCUAUCAGCAGUAUGUGGUAGAAAAAUUAUGGCACGUUAGGACACCAAGUGAGUGCAGGGAAGUUUCUCUUCCCAGGUUGGAAGAAACUUUUUGAUGAUAAUAUGUAUAAAUUAUAAGUUGUCCAUAUUUGCCACUUGGGAGUUCAUUGAUUUGUCCAUUCUAACUUUCUAAGGAACAGACUUUAACCAAGUACGAGAUGUUGGUGGGAGAGAAUCACUCAGCACUCAACAGCAGCUAUUGAAAAAAAAAAGGUUAAUAAAUUAAAUUAAAGUAAAAAUUAAAAAUCAAAAUAAAGACAAAAUAACAACUAAGUCUUAAUCUCA
RNAcentral lists this unclassified non-coding RNA (3472 nucleotides) under Hevea brasiliensis (rubber tree). Lineage: Eukaryota; Viridiplantae; Streptophyta; Magnoliopsida; Malpighiales; Euphorbiaceae. The record is from RNAcentral.